UUAUGCCUAAAUUGUUAAUAGUUAUAUUAUUGUUGAAUGAUAUCUGCAUAUGAGAGGCUCCAAUAUGUGUUCUUUCUUGCUUUGAUUAAUACAAUCAAGAAUACAUCCCUGCUCAUCAGUUAAUGCAUCCUCCAAAAACACAAAGUAUAUGCUAGUCCUGUUUAUGGUUUCUUUCUAACACCUCAUUUAUUGUGGGGUUGAUCGCUGAUAAAGGAGAAGAAACAAAAAUGAAAUAAAAAAUUGUGUUUUAUGUUGUUUCUUAUAGUGAAAAUUAAAAUGAUCUGCACUCCACUGCUGGAUGUUAUCUUCUCUUGGUUUCCAAAUGACACAAGAUUUGAGAUUCAAAGUUUGAAUAAAUAUACAUUUUUACUUUUAUUUUUAGCCCCAGGUCUUUCAGCAAUCAAAGGAAAGCCUUACUCAAAUAGGGACUGGGUUUGAAUAUAGGCUGAAACAUGAGUUGAAGGGUCCUAGCUAUGGUCUUCUCGAUUCACCACUGCGAGAUUUUAAAUGCAUGUCCUUGACUGGGUUAUAAGAAGCCAUUUCUGUCUGGAGUUUUCUAAUUUACCUGGGAAUAAUUUCCACAAUGUGCCUUACAUCACUACUGCUUUGAUGGAUGCGAAGCUUGGCACGGAAGGGCGCAAGGAUCUUUUUGAUUGGCUAUCAAGGCAACUUAGUGGAUUAAGCAAUUUUCUUGAUGCUGUAAAUCUGAAUUAUGUAUUGUUUCAAUUUGUUAUGCUAGAUGGAUGUGACUUGUGAAUGAAAACUUAGAAUAGUUGUAUUGUGUCGAAUGUUAAUGAAUUAUGUAUUGUGUCGAAUGUUAAUGAUUCAGUUAAUUUGAA
Molecule: non-coding RNA, 839 nt
Organism: Camellia sinensis
Lineage: Eukaryota; Viridiplantae; Streptophyta; Magnoliopsida; Ericales; Theaceae
Source: RefSeq, a predicted model, not a curated record